CAUACCAUUUGCAAAAGUAGACAACCCAAGGUAUUGCACGUGGGGUAUGUCCAUUCUUUCUUAGUAGCCACUUAGUCACAAACACUGGCCAAAUAUUAGUUUUUUUGGUUUUUUUCACACAAAAACAAAUAUGAAAGCUAGCUUUGGCCAGUAUUUGUGACUAAGUGGCUACUAAAAAAAAGACUAAACAUACCCUACUUUCAAUACCUUGGGUUGUCUACUUUUUCAAAUGGUAUG
Pelobates cultripes (western spadefoot toad) is the source of this 237-nucleotide non-coding RNA. NCBI's taxonomy places the organism in Eukaryota, Metazoa, Chordata, Amphibia, Anura, Pelobatidae. The record is from the annotation of a GenBank genome assembly.